RNAcentral lists this ribosomal RNA (529 nucleotides) under Macrobdella mimicus. RNAcentral describes it as "partial 28S ribosomal RNA". It matches the Rfam family "Eukaryotic large subunit ribosomal RNA", at positions 660 to 1141 of the family's 3401-position model. Lineage: Eukaryota; Metazoa; Annelida; Clitellata; Hirudinida; Hirudinidae. The record is from RNAcentral.
CACGGACCAAGGAGUCUAACACGUGCGCGAGUCGCAGGGUAGUACGAAACCCGAAGGCGCAACGAAAGUGAACCUUUUCUUACGAAUCGGUAGGUGGGAUCCCGGACCGAAUCCCGCUCGCGGGAAGAAUGGGCGCACCACCGGCCUGUCUCGGCCGCGACGUCGGCGAGGCGGAGCAAGAGCGUACGCGUUGGGACCCGAAAGAUGGUGAACUAUGCCUGAGCAGGAUGAAGCCAGAAGAAAUUCUGGUGGAGGUCCGCAGCGAUUCUGACGUGCAAAUCGAUCGUCAAACUUGGGUAUAGGGGCGAAAGACUAAUCGAACCAUCUAGUAGCUGGUUCCCGUCGAAGUUUCCCUCAGGAUAGCUGGCGCUCAUUGGAUAAGCAGUUUUAUCCGGUAAAGCGAAUGAUUAGAGGCCUUGGGGACGUACAGACCUCAACCUAUUCUCAAACUUUAAAUGGGUAAGACGUCCGUCUCGCUUGAUUGGAGUCGGGCUGUUCGAAUGCGAGUGCCAAGUGGGCCAUUUUUGGU